Molecule: long non-coding RNA, 5330 nt
Organism: Numida meleagris (helmeted guineafowl)
Lineage: Eukaryota; Metazoa; Chordata; Aves; Galliformes; Numididae
Exons: 4
Source: RefSeq, a predicted model, not a curated record
ACAAGUAAUUGGAUUUUUUUUCUUUAAACAUCUCCCAUCCCUUAAGUAUGAAAGUUUUGUCAGGCAUUCCUCUGCUGCUAGUCUGUAGUACUGGCUGCAGCUUCAUUGAGCAGAGGAGCAUGAGGAGCAGUAUACAUAAGGGAGCCACAAGCUUACUCCUUAAGGGACCGCCUCCCAUUCAGGUGAGAAGCCAUGGAAACUAAGGAGGACUUUUUACUGGUGUACCUGCCUGUAGCCCAGAACUGUGAGCCACUGGUGGCAGUGGAGUCAAGAAAUUUCCUUUUAAAUCACUCUUUAGCUGGGUUGUGAUGUGCUCUUCUGUGCCAGACUCUGUUUAGGGUUUAGAGGUUAAAAUGGGCUUGUUCCAGUCCUAGCUUUAAGGUGAACGUUGUGAUACAGUAUCAGCUGUGUUCAUUUCAUGAAGCCUUGAAGCAGAAGCUUGUGCAGCUUCUAGCACUGCAGUAGGGCUUCAGAUCAUUAUGUCCAGCUUAUUAAUUGUUCUAUAAUUAUAAAUGACUUGCUCAUUAUUUGUACCAAGUAGGUUCUCCAAUUCCAGUGUUCUACGUAUGCUGUACUUAACAUUAAAGAGAGACUUCAGAACUACUUGUUCUACUGCUUUCAUGGUCUAAUUAGUUUGCUAAUGCAAACUACUUAAUUUUAUAAAUAAACUACAGCAGACUGCUGAUGUAGAAAUAAUUCUCUGGGUAGCUUACAUUGCCAAUUUAAAUGUCUGUUUUAAAUAUCUGUAAAGCUUGAUCAAAGUUUAUUACUGAAAAAAAAUGUAAGGAUGGUUCAAUUUCAGGCUGUACUCCAUUUUGCUGAGUAUCCGAAUGCUACUUGUUAGCUGGAAAGGGCUCCACAGCUUCGGUGCUGUCAAUAACACUCCAUAGUCCCUAGGUACUUCAUUUAAAUAUGUUAAGAAAGACGCUUUUAAAAAAUGCUUCCAGCAUUUUUGAGGCUGGAUUUCAUUAAUGACUUUGAAUUUAACUGCAUUUAUUGGUAAUUUCUACAAUUACAAUUACCAGUCCCUUGCAGAGAUGGGAGGACAGGCUCUCUUGGCCUCUUGCAGAAGCGACUGUUUCUCUAAUAUAAAAGCACAUCUACAUAAUUCACACAUUCAGAUCCUCAUUACCCUGCAGAUGUGCCUAAGCAGCUACUGCUUUUUUCCUGGGUUUAAAAGAAUUAUCAUGUAUUGAAGAAAACUGAAAGCUGCUUUUAGUAGGCAAAAAGUCUUAGGUAUGUUCUGUUACCAGAAUUCAAGAAUAUUUUCCAGUUAUCUCGUACUGAAGUGUUGUAUAUAUGCUUAGGUAGCACAAGUAACAUUCUCAAUCUCUUUGGAUCAUUUAAAGGCUGUCUGUCUGUCAUUCAUGUAUAUGUCAGUGGAAUUUAAUAACAAGUAACUCUUAAGGGAAUAAAGCAAAAUAUCCCCAAAUUAAUUUGGUGACAGAUUGGCUCAAAAGGCUGCUUGAAAACACAGAUCUUAUUUUUUAUUUUUUUAAAGAGCUCCAAGCCUGCUCUUGGAACCAUAAAAUAGAAUGUUACACCCACAUACAGAUUUGCAUUUGCAAACUUGAUUGUAGAGGCCAAAUUACCUUACUUUUACUUCCCCAAAAUCCUUUUCACAUGUACUAAAUUCAUGUUUUUUAACACGUGAAUAGAAAUGUCUAGAAAUCUUGCAGGCUUUUGAAUGUGUAAAGUAGGAGUUACUAUAAAAAAAAAAAAAAACACCCUUAUCUUUUGAAUAUAAAUGAAACCUAGACCUUAGAAAGGGAAUAACAAUAUGCAAUAGACAUACGUUCAAAACUGAUACAUGGAAAACUUCAGGAGUAGCCUUCAACUGAGUGUCCAUCUGUACUGUACACUGCGCUUUGUGAAUAAAAAUGCCAAUGUAAAAUGUGUCUAUGUACUGUACCAGUUCCAUUGCAUGCACUAAUUGAAGAGUCUGUGCACACUCAUUAAUUCAAAUAUCUUAACUUCUUCGGUGUAUUUUCAUAAUGAACAACCAGGACAUCUUUUAUAGUUAGUCAUGAUAAUAAUAUACUUUGUCCAUGAAACUGCCUAUGAAGGCAGAGAAGGUGCACAAAGGCUUAGCACAUUAUUAACUGCUGCUCUAAAGCAUACAAAGCUUCUUAAUUUCUCUCCAUUGGUGUAUUACUUAACGUAGGUAAGUCAUAUUCACAAUAUUAACGUAUAGGUAAUCAAGAAGCUUAGCGUAGGGCUCUUGCAAAUUAAGAGGUUUUUGUAUUUGUUGGAACUCCACUAGCUGUAAAACAAGUACCUCAGUAUCAAACUCUUUAAAAGCAAUGCUGUACUAGCAUUUCUGAAAGACCGUCAGCCAUGUUCCUAGUUACGUCUGAUGUUUUGUUUUUAAUUAAUUCCUCUCUAUAUUUGUGAGCUUGCUUCUUCAUAUUUAUCAAGAUUUGCAAGCUUUCCAGUAUGGGUAAUUAGUUGCUGGGUUGUGUCAAACCUUAUGGUUUGUUGUUGUUCUUGUUUUUAUUUGAGGAAAACUACAUUUCACUUUUGUUUCUGUCCUUUACAGUGCCAUCGCCAUGGAACUGACUGCCUGCAGAGAUCUUCAGACAAGCUGUCUGCGUGCCCUUUUCAGUAGUGCUCAGAGUUCCUCUUCCUAGGGGCCUGUCCAGUCCCAGGAAGCACACACAGAGGUGGGAGAGAAGAACAUGGAGCAGUGCCCCUUCUCCUGAAUCUGAGAGGAAUGCUUGUGUCAUGGCAGCAGGCUCCAAAGCAGGAUACAGCAUGAGAGAGAUCUUGACUGUAACCACUGCCUGUUGCACCAAUGGAGAGAGAAUACAAGCAACUGUCAAUGAACACUGAUUGCAGAAAAAAUACAACCACCCAAAUCUUCCAAGACACGCUGGGAAAUACAAGUACUGGCUUCCCUAUACUGAAGAACGUGGCUCCACUGUACCAGUAAGUCUGAACAAUAAACUUCUACCUACCAUAGCAAAAUAAGAGAAUCCAUUAACUCUGGCACUACAGAUCAGGAAUUGUUUCACUGUAGCUACGACUUCAGCCUGCCACCUGGAAAACUGGCCUCUGAACUUCCUCUGCAGCACUUCCAAACCAAGGGCAGAAGAGAAAAGAAACACCGAAGAAAUACAGCAUCAGCUGCCUAACAGGGACUGAGAACACUCUCCUCUCUUUAAUUUCAAUUUCUGAUUACUUUUUAGACACCUACAUGCAUCCCGUCACUUCAAAUUAAAAACUUAUUACCACGUUAUUAGCCACAGUCUUUUUCUCAUUGAAGGGAGCAGCAAAUUACUUCCAUCAGAGUUAAUGGAGGCAAGAACAAUGGCUGCUACUGCUGUUGUUAGGCCUCUUCAGCAGUUAAUUCUUGGCCUGCUUCUGAGAAGAAACCAGUUUAGAAAAUUAGGCAGUUUCUUCUUAAGCUGACUAUUGUAUUGGCUCACAUCCAAUUGCUAACUAGACAAAUACAAGUUAGGCACUGAAAGCCCACAGACAGCCUUCUUAUGGUGUAACUUGUUUGCUAGCAGCAAUGUCUAUCUAGUCCACAUACUCCCUGAAAGGAUCACGAGACUUGAUUUAAAAACUCCCAUUCUCUCUGCAACGUAUUCAUAAAUAUGCAUAGAUAUGUAUUAAUAAAGAUAGGAGGGAAGAGUUAAGAUGUAAUAAAUGUUCAAACAUUACUUCUAUUUUUUAAUAAAAAAACUAAUUACAAUUUGAGCAUAAUGAGCACAUAAGAAUUUUUCUUUCACUGAAAUAACACAACUCAUGGGCUAUAGCUUACUUUUGUGUAAUUAGUAAGAUUACUUCAGAGCAAGUGAAGAAACACUACAAGAAAGAAUGAUGUCUGCAAGUAUACAGCAUGUACAAAGGCACAAACAGGUACAUAGUAUGUGCUCAUACAAACAAGGCAAGAAACAGAGCUUCCAGCUGGAGAAACCAGACUGACACUGCCCAGGUCCUUCAGCAGGACGAGUGCCAGACAGUAAUAUUAAGUUCUGUAUACUCCAAAGAGAAAUUGCUCCACCCCAAGACAGAACGUCAAGCAAGACUGUACAUUAUACAUGUGAAGCUAAGUAGGGGAAGACGGACUGUAUUUUCCAUGAACAAAAUGUUAAAUAUCUUCUUUACUAGCAACUUAAAGUGUAAUUUUCUACAUGCAAUUCACUGGGGACUGGUACAUCUUUUUCCCUCCUCUUACAAACAACAAUACCAAAGCCACUUACUUUACCAUACAAAAAUGCCCUAGAUUUCCCCAUUCAUUGAAUUUGCAUCUAUCAAAAAUUCAUGCAAAGAGAAGUAUGAUGAGAAUCAGAAACUCCAGAAUGUGAUAACUGUAAAAAAAAACAAAACAAAACAAAAAAAACAGUAUUUAACUGCAUUCUCCCAGUUCUAAGCCUACCAGCUGAAAUCAGCACAUCACUAGAAAGGAAUGCUCUGAGAACACGCUCUGGAAUUACAGAUUCCAUCCUUUCCCAGAAGCCUUUAUUGAUGCAACAUACAUAAGGCUGAGGCUGACUUGGAAGCCCUGGGCAGAAGCAAUGCUGUAUCUGUAACAGAGACACUCCUUUCCCUCCCAUUACCUUUUGUUAUUGUAAUGUUGGGAAUCCUUUAUGAGGUCGCACCACUCCCACAGUAAAAUAAAUGUUAGCAUGUUAGCCAAGAUAUCAAGUGAAUAUAAAUUAAGAGACCUGGGAAAGAGAUCCCUAUAUUGCUCAAAUUAGUUGCCUUCAGUUCACAGAUCAAGUUGCAUAACUUAUUAUUCACAACAUUGUGUUAUUGCAUAACAUAGAUAUGUGCUCCUUACAUUGUUCAAGCACCAAUUAUACAAGUUAAUUCUGAGAGAGGCCGUACAGGAACCUAGUCUAUCACAUGCACUUACACGUGUGCUGUGCCUAAAAGAUGUAUGCUUUGCAGCUUAUGUAAAAUGAUCAAAGCCACUCAACUCACCCAACAACAAAUAAAGGCAAUUUGUGCAUUGUUCAGGAGGUAAAUAAGGGACGCUCCAGCUCUCUCACAGUUUCUAUGGAUGCAAUUAGUAUCUCAAGGUAGCUACCAAAUUUGCUUAGUCCAAAACGAGCCCGUUACAUAUUAAAACCUAACACAAUAAUAUUUAAAUUCAGCAUUUUGUUCUCCUCAGAAAGCUAAAAUAACAUAAACGGGAACCUGAGUCUAAUUUAACAGAUACAAUAAACUUGACAAUAAGCAACUUGUGGAGCUGCAGUUCCAAAAGAAAAACAUUACAGCACUGAAAAGAGGACUGCAUUUGAAUUCCAGUUUUGCAGGAGAGGAGUUCCCUUCUUGCUGUAUAGGUCACCAGAGUUUAUGAAAGCCUGAAACAGAGUAUA